RNAcentral lists this long non-coding RNA (325 nucleotides) under Theobroma cacao (cacao). RNAcentral describes it as "long non-coding RNA (TCAC_LNC002673)". Lineage: Eukaryota; Viridiplantae; Streptophyta; Magnoliopsida; Malvales; Malvaceae. The record is from RNAcentral.
CUUAUAAUCAACUACUUGUAAACACUCUAGCUUAAGUUCUCUGUGAAAUUCUUAUUUCCUCCUAAGUAAUCCCCAUGGCUACCAAUAUGUCCCUGAAGCUUGCAUGUGUCGUGGUUUUGUGCUUGGUGGUGGGUGCACCCCUGGCUCAGGGGGCCAUAACAUGUAGUCAAGUCAGCAGCUACCUGGCACCAUGCAUUCCUUACCUGAGAGGCAGCGGUGGCGCUGUGCCUUCAAAUUGCUGUAGUGGGAUCAAAAAUCUCAACGGCGCCGCCCAAACCUCACAAGAUCGCAAAGCGGCUUGCGGCUGCAUCAAAAAUGCUGCUGG